Molecule: non-coding RNA, 214 nt
Organism: Pelobates cultripes (western spadefoot toad)
Lineage: Eukaryota; Metazoa; Chordata; Amphibia; Anura; Pelobatidae
Source: the annotation of a GenBank genome assembly
AUGUUUCCGCUGUUAUCUAAUAAACAGGUAAAACACAUUGCAGGCUAUCCUAUUAAAGAUUGUCUCAGCGAUUUAAUCAUUAGAAAGAUCUACUGUUUGAACUGGCUCACCAUGGGUACACCCUCUACACCCUCUAGCACUCAGUCAUAGGCGUUACUAAUCAUAAACUGAUGGACUUACCCCCAUUCUAAGAAUUAGGCCAGCUUAAACUUAC